GACAGAGGUCCCAAGCGUUGUUCGGAUUCACUGGGCGUAAAGGGUGCGUAGGCGGUUGGAUAAGUCGGUUGUGAAAUCUCCAAGCUCAACUUGGAAAAGGCAACCGAAACUAUCCGGCUAGAGGAAUGGAGGGGAGACUGGAAUUCUCGGUGUAGCAGUGAAAUGCGUAGAUAUCGAGAGGAACACCGGUGGCGAAGGCGAGUCUCUGGACAUUUCCUGACGCUGAGGCACGAAAGCCAGGGGAGCAAACGGG
Molecule: ribosomal RNA, 253 nt
Filed under: uncultured bacterium
Lineage: Bacteria
Description: partial 16S ribosomal RNA
Rfam family: Bacterial small subunit ribosomal RNA
Source: RNAcentral